GACGAACGCUGGCGGCGUGCCUAAUACAUGCAAGUGGGACGCAAGGAAACACACUGUGCUUGCACACCGUGUUUUCUUGAGUCGCGAACGGGUGAGUAACGCGUAGGUAACCUGCCUAUUAGCGGGGGAUAACUAUUGGAAGCGAUAGCUAAUACCGCAUAAUAUUAAUUAUUGCAUGAUAAUUGAUUGAAAGAUGCAAGCGCAUCACUAGUAGAUGGACCUGCGUUGUAUUAGCUAGUUGGUAAGGUAAGAGCUUACCAAGGCGACGAUACAUAGCCGACCUGAGAGGGUGAUCGGCCACACUGGGACUGAGACACGGCCCAGACUCCUACGGGAGGCAGCAGUAGGGAAUCUUCGGCAAUGGACGAAAGUCUGACCGAGCAACGCCGCGUGAGUGAAGAAGGUUUUCGGAUCGUAAAGCUCUGUUGUAAGUCAAGAACGUGUGUGAGAGUGGAAAGUGCACACAGUGACGGUAGCUUACCAGAAAGGGACGGCUAACUACGU
RNAcentral lists this ribosomal RNA (504 nucleotides) under uncultured bacterium. RNAcentral's name for it is "partial 16S ribosomal RNA". It matches the Rfam family "Bacterial small subunit ribosomal RNA", at positions 28 to 506 of the family's 1533-position model. The record is from RNAcentral.